This is a long non-coding RNA of Penaeus chinensis, 795 nucleotides long. RefSeq lists it as uncharacterized. The transcript has 3 exons. Lineage: Eukaryota; Metazoa; Arthropoda; Malacostraca; Decapoda; Penaeidae. The record is from RefSeq and is a predicted model, not a curated record.
ACCUCUCACUCCGUCCCCUCUAAUGCCAUCCAAACCCGUGCCACCUCGCACUAUACUCGCGCACUGAGUUUCUUCCACAGGCUGGCCCAUCCGUUAAGGCCAAGGUGCUUACCGUAGGGUGUCAGAAGGGGAGAGGGAGAUCUAUGGUUUGCGGGUCUUAAAUCUGCCGAAAGAGGUUAAGUACAGCCGGCUACUGAGGACCUCCCUCCAAAAUACGACGACUUGGUGAACAAACUGCCAUUUUGUGAGGAAGCAAUUUUCACGAUACAAAAGAAUCCCUCCGUCGACGCGGGCCGCAAGAACCUCGCUUUCGACCCUCAAGAGGAGACAAAAGCCCUUCCUGACGGCGACAUCGAAGCGGCAUCGCGUGGAAACCCAGCCGAUGUAGGGGGAUUGGCUAAUCCUCAUCCGCAUCAUUGAUAAUCCGACGUUAGAUUUUCCCAAUCCGAUGCAAGGGGAUUAGCUAAUCCUCCUCCUGGAUUUGGUGUGGAUAAUGAGCUAAUCAGCAUAUCACCAUCAGCGCGAUCUCACUCGACCCGAUGAAACUCCAAUCCGGGAAUUACUCGUUAAGCACACACAUUCUUGAAAUGUUUAUUAUAAUUGUUGUUGUUGUUGUCAUUAUUAUACCACCCAGAAAUUCUCUUUUUUAUUAAUCUAUUCAUAAAUUCUCGAUCAUUUCACACGCGGUACAGUGCACGAACUCAUUCCCGUUCCUAUCAUUAAAUUAUAUUGUCACUGUACAGAGAGGUUUCAUAAUUACUGUGCGUAGGUUAGGGGAAGCAAUUCAGCGAUAUA